This 951-nucleotide ribosomal RNA is filed under the name Pseudomonas aeruginosa. RNAcentral describes it as "partial 23S ribosomal RNA". It matches the Rfam family "Bacterial large subunit ribosomal RNA", at positions 1 to 995 of the family's 2925-position model. Lineage: Bacteria; Pseudomonadati; Pseudomonadota; Gammaproteobacteria; Pseudomonadales; Pseudomonadaceae. The record is from RNAcentral.
GUUAUAUGGUCAAGUGAAGAAGCGCAUACGGUGGAUGCCUUGGCAGUCAGAGGCGAUGAAAGACGUGGUAGCCUGCGAAAAGCUUCGGGGAGUCGGCAAACAGACUUUGAUCCGGAGAUCUCUGAAUGGGGGAACCCACCUAGGAUAACCUAGGUAUCUUGUACUGAAUCCAUAGGUGCAAGAGGCGAACCAGGGGAACUGAAACAUCUAAGUACCCUGAGGAAAAGAAAUCAACCGAGAUUCCCUUAGUAGUGGCGAGCGAACGGGGAUUAGCCCUUAAGCUUCAUUGAUUUUAGCGGAACGCUCUGGAAAGUGCGGCCAUAGUGGGUGAUAGCCCCGUACGCGAAAGGAUCUUUGAAGUGAAAUCGAGUAGGACGGAGCACGAGAAACUUUGUCUGAACAUGGGGGGACCAUCCUCCAAGGCUAAAUACUACUGACUGACCGAUAGUGAACCAGUACCGUGAGGGAAAGGCGAAAAGAACCCCGGAGAGGGGAGUGAAAUAGAACCUGAAACCGUAUGCGUACAAGCAGUGGGAGCCUACUUGUUAGGUGACUGCGUACCUUUUGUAUAAUGGGUCAGCGACUUAUAUUCAGUGGCAAGCUUAACCGUAUAGGGUAGGCGUAGCGAAAGCGAGUCUUAAUAGGGCGUUUAGUCGCUGGGUAUAGACCCGAAACCGGGCGAUCUAUCCAUGAGCAGGUUGAAGGUUAGGUAACACUGACUGGAGGACCGAACCCACUCCCGUUGAAAAGGUAGGGGAUGACUUGUGGAUCGGAGUGAAAGGCUAAUCAAGCUCGGAGAUAGCUGGUUCUCCUCGAAAGCUAUUUAGGUAGCGCCUCAUGUAUCACUCUGGGGGGUAGAGCACUGUUUCGGCUAGGGGGUCAUCCCGACUUACCAAACCGAUGCAAACUCCGAAUACCCAGAAGUGCCGAGCAUGGGAGACACACGGCGGG